RNAcentral lists this long non-coding RNA (845 nucleotides) under Felis catus (domestic cat). RNAcentral's name for it is "lncRNA (ENSFCAG00000052832.1)". The record is from RNAcentral. Lineage: Eukaryota; Metazoa; Chordata; Mammalia; Carnivora; Felidae.
GAGAACCAGUCAGGGUUGAGAUAAUGGACUGGGAGCCCAGCCACAGCCAGGAGUCCCGGAGAGAGCCCAGGCAUGACCAGUCUCAAGGGACCUCUGUUCGGGAAGGCAAGACCGAUGUAGACAGCCAUCCGUUCCAGUGUCAAAUCCCACCUGCAGAGGAGCUGACCGGAGAGACUCCCCCUCCACAAAGCUCUUCCCUCUUCCAUCCAUACCAAAACUCGCUCUCGGUGAAGGAUCUGGAACAACUUGGUACGCUUCACUAGGACCCUGUGUGGGAGAGGAAAUCAAAGAUGGCACGGUGGGGGGGCGGGGGGGGCGGGCGCAGUAGGCUGUGUCGCAUGGCUCGCAAUCCCUAGAAAGCAUUUCCAUCAUUUCUAUCGUUCCCAUCACCAGAAGCUUUUUUUUUUUUUUUAACGUUUAUUUAUUUUUGAGACAGAGAGAGAGCAUGAACAGGGGAGGGUCAGAGAGAAGGAGACACAGAAUCUGAAACAGGCUCCAGGUUCUGAGCUGUCAGCCCAGAGCCCGACGCGGGGCUCGAACUCACAGACUGCGAGAUCAUGACCUGAGCCGAAGUCGGCCGCUUAACCGACUGAGCCACCCAGGCGCCCCCACCAGAAGCUUUUAGUGACCAGAAGCCGGUGGCCCUUCUGCCCGCACCAGCCACUGCGGGUUCCCCCCAAAUUCCCCACCCUCCCCCACAACUUCAAGCUUCCAUGCCUCCCACGUCUAGCAGUCAGUAGUCGUUCGGCUCAGUCCCAGCCUCUCAGCCCUGGAACAUGGAGACAGGAAAACUGAAUAACUCGCCGAAAGGGCCCAAGCAAAUCACUUUAGAUACCAUUUCCAGC